CUCAGAUUCUUGACACCCACAGCUGAAGUUCCCCCACUUAAGCUUGUUCUUUCUUCUUUUUCUCCUUUCUGGAACACAGUGGAACUGACAGCUGGGUUAUAAAACCCUAAGCCUCCUCUGUGAGCUCCUCUGGGGGAACAAACCUCUUGCUAAGGGGAGAAAAUAGAAUUUCAAGUAGAUACACAGGUGAUAGAAAUAGAGGAGGAGGCCAUCAAAGACCUCAAAAUAAACAGGCAGGGGCAGGCCCAGGGACAGCACAAGGACUGCUGCCUGCAGGUCCCUCUCCAGGCCCUCAAUACCACAGUCUGCCCCCUGCCUUAUAGGGAGCAGGAGCCCUAGGAGGAGCUGAGGCAGCUCUGAUUUUGAAACCUAAGAAAUAUGUUGACUCUUCUCCUGUCUGGAGGGUCCAAAAGCCAGGAGAGACCCUCUGGCUUGGUUUCUAUGCAGAACCUCCAAGGUGGAAAUGGGCAUGCUGUAAAAUCUACCUCUGAAUUUCCCUGCUCCCUCAGGGGUCUCCUGAUCUGAGUAAGAUACGAGUGGUCCCUGAAGCCAUCCCACCAGGUCAGGUUAGAGUGGACAGACCUGAGGAGCCCUCAAGGGCUUCGGGCUAGUGGGGUGUUCAGGGAGUGGAAACAGGCUUGGGCCAUUUCAAGGGAAUAGUGUAAAAUACAGGAAGAGGAAAGGAGGGGGUGGAGUGGGCCUCCAGAGACCCCUCCUUCCUUGAGGGGAACCUGGAACGGGAACAGUAACAGGACACUCAAGGGCCGGUUCUCUCCUGGUGCUGGCAGGGCCGGGUGAGCUGCACUGGCUCUGGGAGGCGGGAAGUGGCUCUCUUGAGGGUGGCCAGGUGCCAGCUCCCCAGGCUCUGCAGCACAGCCUGCUGCUCCUGUGGGCAGGGGGCUCAAGACGGGAGGUCAGUUCUUGUAGUUCUUGGGUCUGGAGGCAGAAGGGGGCAGUGCUGUCUGUCCUGUCUUUGGAACCCUGGCCAGGCAUGUGCCCACACUCUCCGGCUCCUCCAGGUCCCAUUGCUGAAGGUGAGCCUCAGCCAGCAGAGCCCCCUGCAACCCAAGAGUCAUAAACCCACUCCAGCUUGCCUUGGCCUCGAUGCCGACCCUCUUCUUCCUCUUCCCUCCAGGACUCCAGGGAGGGAGAUGAUCCAUCCUAAAUAGAUCCCUUGGUCCUCAGAGAGCAAGACCCAGACUUUCCAGGGAUCACUGCAAGUGACACCUCCCUACCUCCCCUCUGUGCCCUUACCCCUUCCAGGGUCUUCCACAGCCUGGACAGGGUGGAGCCUCCUAGAAGCCCCAGGGAAGAGGGGAGUUAGAAGUUCACCAGCUUCCUUCCUGCGAGGAAGGCAAGUGCUGCAAGCCAGACCCUCACCCAGCACCAGCAGCACCCUACUCCCCAGCCCUUUCCCCUGUAGCCACUAGGGGCAAGGGCUGUGGGAAGCAGGGGGAGGUGACACAAGAGAACUGCUGGAGUCCAGAGCAGCCAGGGCUUGAGACCCCUUCAGUGGGCAGCCCACUCCACCCGUCAGAACCCCUGAAUGCAGUCAUAAGGGACAGCUGCCACCCAGUCUCCUCGAAGAGUGCCAGGUCCCACUCAGGGUGUAGAACCCUCAGCUGAGCCAGACAGGGGGAG
Molecule: long non-coding RNA, 1641 nt
Filed under: Marmota monax (woodchuck)
Lineage: Eukaryota; Metazoa; Chordata; Mammalia; Rodentia; Sciuridae
Source: RNAcentral